Molecule: unclassified non-coding RNA, 2558 nt
Filed under: Hevea brasiliensis (rubber tree)
Lineage: Eukaryota; Viridiplantae; Streptophyta; Magnoliopsida; Malpighiales; Euphorbiaceae
Source: RNAcentral
AAGAUAAUGAAAAAAAAUAUGCCAAACUUGUAUAUAUUUUAGUAGCUUAAUUGGGAGACUGAAAGAGACUCGAAUGAUUGGAGUUCUAUCAACAUUUAACUAAUUAGAAUUUGAUUAGUCGACUAGAAAAGGUUGGUAGAAAGUCGUGUAACUCUAUUCCUUUUCUUUUAAAGUAAUAAAUUAAUUGGGCUAAACCAAACUCUCCAUAUCCGAAUCAAUUGAGCAGGAUCCAUCAUCUACAUUGGCAAGAGGGUUGUACAAGUGUGAGCCACGAUCCAUGCAUCCUGGAACUAGAUCAAGAUUGCAGCGAUCACCUCCUUCGAUGGAAAGGUUACCGAUCAUAGCACAUCUUGUGAUAACAAUACUAGUAUCCGGAAAUAUUGCCUUUUCACACGCACCUUCUUUACUCAACUCCUGUGCCAGGCCCUCAUUAAAGAAUUCAAUUGGUCUGUUUUGCCAAGCCUUAGGAACUUGAAACUGCAGUCUGUAAGGACCAUCCCAAUCAACUCCAUUUGUGAAUGAGCAGAUCAAGUUCACAGCAUGCUUAGGAAUGCAUAUCUGGAUGGUAUAUAUUGGUGGAUCAGCUUUGCCUCUUGCUUUCCUGAGCAUCGCUCUUGGCUCACCACCACACAUAAUGGGCUGAUUAAAACCUCCAUUAAAGCCAAUACCAAAAUCUUCAUUUGGAACAAGCAUUUUGGCAGCCGGAUUAUAGAAAAGCUUUAGCUUCUCUCCAGAAGUUGGAGGAAGACCAUUCAUGGUUUUCCAAUAUAUAGGAGCCUUCCCAAGUUCAAACAUAGCCCAGCUAGGAAGCACAUACCUGCAAGGAACGAAAAAGCAGAUUACUCAUGAUUGCUGCUAGGGGUGGCCACUGGUCUGGAACGGGCCAUGGCUGGAAUUGAUGUUUCCGGUUCAAAGUUCAGGGGACUGGGACGGGACUGUAUGUCCCCUUAUUUCGAGUUCCUGUCCCAGUCUCGAUUUUAGUUCACUUCAGUCCAGUUUUGGCUUGGAACCAAAUCGUCCAGUUUUGGAUAGUUUCAAGACCAGUUUUGAUCAAUGCGAUUUUCAUUCCUUUCGGUUCUGGUUUGGAUCAGUAAUUGAACCAUGGCUGGGUCUAAUUGCUACUCAGCUUCUUAAAUGUAAAAGACAAAAAAAAUUAUUGUUUGGACUAAAAGUUUUCAAAACAUCAUAUUGAUUAUGGUGCACAUAACAACUCAGCAUGUUGACUAUACAGAAAUAAACAUUCCAGGAAGAAGAACAGCAUUAGAAAAGAAAAGACCUUAGUUUACAAACAAAAAUUUAAUGCUUGCUUGCAUGUGAUAAAGUAUGAAUCCAUAACAUGGAAGAAGUGCAAAUUCAUACUCAGUAAUUUCCUCCAUUGAAGUUGUAGCAACAGCAGCUGCAGCAGUUACUUUCCUACUAAUCUUGACUGUUCUGUUCUUUUUUGUCCAACUCAUUGGUAGCGAAGCACCAAUAAUAGUACAUGCUGCAAUUUGAAAGAUAUUAAGUCCCAUGCUUUUAAAAUCUAAUAUAUUUGUAAAUUCCCUGUUUUUUAUUUUCAAACUCAUACAGGAACCUGUACACAAAUUUUGAUGCAGAUAGAACAUAUAUUCAAUACAUCCCAUCAUCAAAAGUAAAUGCUUGAGAUUUGGAUGGCUCGCUACUUGUACUUAAAAAUCAGACUCCUAGUUCCUAAAUAGAUGACAACAUAACAGAUUUAUUAAGUUUAGUCAUUCAUAAUGCAGUUUGGAAUGUAAAUUAAUAUAGCACCCCAAAAGACAAAAUCUUGAAUAGUCUGCAUAUCCCAAAUCUUGAAUCUUUGAGUAUAUACUUGCCAUUCAACAGCUGCAAAAUCGUCUUUUUCAAAGCUAAAUUGGAGGAAAGUCAACCUUUUUUGCUAGACCAAACAAGAUUUUGUCAACAAAGUGAAGCCUUGUGACCUAACUAAGCUACAUGAGCUCAUCACAGAAAUUUAUAAAAUAAACUUGAAGCAGAAAACAGUAACGUACCACUUGCAACUUUACUCUUUGAUCCUCAAUUAAAAGUGGUCACUGUCAAAUUCGUUAACUUCAAUACCCCCUUUGGAACAUCAUUUCUGUAACUCUGGAAUAGAUUUUCAAUUCCAUUUGCUUUCUAUGAUGUUUGACGGAAGCAAAAGUAAGAAACAAGCUCAAGCACACGGAUUCUUUCCUUAAACAAGUACAAUACCCAUUGGUUCUACCACCAAAACAAAUUUAGGUCAGGGCGCGGGGGACCCCAGGCCUUCUUCCACAAACUAGCAACUAUAAUUUACUCUCAGUUUCAUCAUCAAAUUCAUAGGUUACAUCGUCUACUUAUCAAACAAAAUCCAAAAACAGUUUGAAAAUGAGGAAACUAAUAAGGUACGUAGAUGAAGACACUCACCAAGAGAGUUUGAGACCGAUGGGUUUGCUUUGGUAUUGCCAAUUGACCUCAUGGCAGAGAAAGUUUGCGUUGGCAAUUUAAAGCGCGAAGCACUUGUCGAUGCCAUUAUCACACUUUUAGUGAUGUUUUUAACUAACACAGAGAGAGAGAGAGAGAGA